AUGGUGAUUAUUAGCAGAUGUGGCUGCUGUUUAUUGCAAGUGCUGGAGGCUGCUUCUUGGCCUCAUUGGCUGUCCAUACUCAUGACAACUCCAGCCCCAGUAUUUCUUGAGAGGGCAGUUCUUGCUGUACCCGUGAACUGUGGGGGCCACCUGAAUAUACUUCACGGACCCCAUGAAAAUGCCUUUGGAUUUGCCAAGAUGACCUCCUCCACCUGGAGCAUUGUGAUCAUUCACACCAUCAGCUCUAUUGCCCGAGAGCGUGGCAGACCUGGGGGCAGUCACCUCCGCGGUCGGGGGGCCGCGGCUCUCCCCAGAUGACAGGCCCUGGGGCCGGGCGUCUGAGCCGCGCUGAGCCGUCCAGGGUUUCACUUUAUGGAGCUCAUCUGCCCGGCAGGUCUGUUGUUUCUCUUUGGCAGUUUUAUUUUGAAAUAAUCUUAGAUUUGCCUCAGAGUUGCGCAGAUAGUGCUAGAGUUUCUUUUUUCUAUUUAGAUAACACCUAAAUAUGUGUGUGUGUGUGUGUGUGUGUAUAAUUUAAAGUCAUAUUUUUAUUUAAGGAAUUUUACCUGGAAUGCCUUCCGCUGCCAAUCACCUUAGUUCUGCCAAAGUCAGAAUCAUAAUCUUCAAAAUAGCCCUUUUGAAAAGAACUUUUGUUUGGUUCACAGUUGUCAACGUGAGUCCGCAAUCCUUUCAGGGGAACUUCUCUGAGGGAGUAAAGGAAACUGAGGCAUUCCCAACACUGUAGAGACAUCCACAGAAGAAGCCCUGUGGGGAUAGACCUCAGCAAUAACAUAAACGUAUUUUUAACUAAAAUAGAAACUGUAUGUUGUUUUGCAGCUCCUCUUUAUUCUUAAAUAUACGUGGGUAUUAUUUGUGUCAAUAAAUACACACCUAGAUGAUUAUUCUUGAUGGCUGCAAAGAAAAGACAAGUGGGCCAUAAUACAUUUAGCAGAUCUCUUAUUUAGGUUGCUUGGGCGUCUGUGCUGUUUAUAAUUCUUUACUAUUUAAAAGAAUAGAGUGAACCUGAUGUGAAAUAUUUAUAUAUGUCCCAAUGUAUUUGCAGAGUGACGAUUUCUAGAAGUUACUAAAUUAAAGGGGGAACAUUUUUUUUAAUUUUUUUUAAAUUUAUGAUAGUCAUACAGAGAGAGAGAGAGGCAGAGACACAGGCAGAGGGAGAAGCAGGCUCCAUGCACCAGGAGCCUGACAUGAGAUUCUAUCCCGAGUCUCCAGGAUCGCGCCGUGGGCCAAAGGCAGGCGCCAAACCGCUGCGCCACCCACGGAUCCCAGAGGGGGAACAUUUUUAAAGAUUUCCAAAGUUCUCGCAAGAUCGCCCCGCAAAGCUUUUGUCUUCCCACCAGCUGCACAUGAAAGUGUUUGUUUCAUUUGACUCCUAACCACGCUGGGCAUUCUCUGGUUUAUGUUUUCAAACUGGUUGCCACACACUGGGUUUUCCCUUUCCAUUAACUUCUAUGUGUUUGGUGACUAGUGACAGUGAAUGCCUUUUUUUUUUCCCCCUAACGUUCAGUAACUUAGUAUCAGAUGUUAAGUAAGUGAAACCCUGAUGUCUUGGUGAGUGACACAAUGCUAGGUGGAGAGGGCAUGGUGACCUAGAGGUCACUGGGGAGAGUAGGGCUCUGGUAGCUGGGGUCCCAAGAAACAGUAAUAGAAAAAUACGGGAGUGGACUUUGGGGAACAUUACCAACUGAAGAGCCUCCUUCCGGCCAGCCUGAGUGUGACCCUGGUGAACCCCUGGACCCAGCCCUCCAGCUCUUCUGCACCUCCACCUGCCGGAGGUUACAAGUCAUCUGGGAGAAUUAUACACCGGGCUGGAGGGGUCAGUGAUCGCUCAUGACCACAAGCCCCACGUGGGCACGCAGCACUCCCUCAUGGUUCUGCCACACUCUGCAAAAUGUUUCCCACUUUCCUAACACUUCUUGAAAUUCUUAUAUCCCCUCCUCUCCACUUGCCUCUCCACAGAAGAAGCCACUAGCCUUUGACUUCUGAGUAAUGAGAUGGGCAACCCCUCAUCUUUCCCUUCCUUCCUUCCUUUCCUUCCUUUUCCUUCCCACACCUGUCUGGCCCUACACACUGUUGUAAAAGUGAGACAUCCAUGCUGUUCUGGAAGGGCAGGCUCCUCCCCAUCCCAUCUGCCGGUGGUAGGCUUCUGCUGCCUGAGGCUAGUCUGUCUCUGCUAGGUAUCACCUCCUGCUUCUGCUUUACAGGCUCAUUCCCAGAGGCACCUUAGCACGGGCUGUUUGGUUUCCCAUCUUUGGAGCCUGGGUGGCUCAGUGGGUUAAGCAUCUGCCUUCCCCUCUGGUCAUGAUCUCAGGGUCCAGGGAUCCCUGCUCAGCAGGGAGUCUGCUUCUCCCUCUGCCCCUCCCCUCUCACUCAUGUUCUCUCUCUUUCAUUCUCUCUCUCUCUCUCUGUGUCUCAAAUAAAUAAAUAAAAUUUUUAAAAGGACCUAUAAGGGCACCCAGGUGGUUAAUCAUCUGCCUUUGGCUCAGGUCAUGAUCCUGGGGUCUUGAGAUCGAGUCCUGCAUCAGGGACCCUGCUUCUCCCUCCACCUAUGUCUCUGCCUCUCUCUGUGUGUCUUUCAUGAAUAAAUAAAUAAAAUCUUUUUAAAAAGAGAAAAAGGGCCUAUUAUUGACCUGUCCUACUCUACUGGUUACAACACCACUGCUCUGCUCUGUCUCAUAGCAAAACUUCCUGAAAAAUGUUGUCUGUGUGAGCUACUGUAGCUCUUCAUUUGAGUAGCUAUAUUCAAUUGAUAUUUGCUUUUCGCUUUUUAAAACCUGAGAUAUAUUAUGAAAUAGAGCAGGCCUGUGAGAGUACAUAAAACAUAAAUGUAUUGUUUAUAUGUAAAUGUGUUAUUUAUGCAAAUAUAAAAUAGGUUUAGAAUCCUGUGUCUAAACUAGAACAUCCACUGUGUGAUCAGUUCCUGAAUUACAUACCCCUGCCCCCAUGGAAAUAACCACUUUUCUGGUCUCUGUGAUAAUCAUCUCUUUCUUUAUGGUUUUCCCAGCAUGGUAUGUCUUCCCUAAACUACAUUAUACAUUUUCUAGUUUGUCUGCUUUAUAGGACAUAUUAUUGUAUGCAUCCUAAGCUAGUUUUCUUUUUUGUUUUGGGUUUCUUUUUUUAUCCCCACAACAUUAUCGAAUUUCUAUUGUGUUGAUGUGGGAAGCUGAAUUAUGUUCAAAGUAUAGUAUGGCAUUACAUGAAUAUAUUCAAACUAUCUUUUAUACAGUUAAAGGAUAUUUAUGUUGUUUCCAGUUUUAUCCACUUUUAUUGCUAAUACAAAACAUGUUGCUAUGAAUAUUAUUGUAUGUAACUUACUACAAGAGAAUCUCUAGGAAUUUACAUGGUGGGUAGUAAGUCUCUCCAUUCUCAGGCUAACUAGAUAGUUCCAUUUUCUCCUGAAGGUAGUUAUUCAAAGUACAUUGCCCAAAGCAUUCCAGGAGGAUUUCCACUCCUCUGUACUCUUAAUAACCUUAGUAUAGUCAGACUCCCUGUCGGGAGCCCGAUCUCAGGACCCCAGAUCACAACCUGACCUGAAGGCAGACACUCAAUCACUGAGCCAUCCAGGCACCCCAAGCUGUCAUUGCUUGCCUAGACACCACGAUAGCCUCAUAGUUAGUCUCUUGACUUCUGUCUGGCCUUCGUCUGGUCCAUUCUGUCUUCCAAAAGCUGAGUGAGUUUCUCCACACACAGAUAUGAUCCUGCUGCCAUGACUUUAAAUCCUGCAAUCGUCCCCACUUUUGACCACAAACCCUCAACAACCUGCCCCACCAUGUCUUUGCUUCAUCUCCUACCUGUCCCUUCUCUCUGUGAGCAUCGGCCAUGCAAGCUUCCUGUGGGCUUUGCUCAAGUAACACAUACUCUUCCCUCUGAAACACUCUUAUACCUUCCUACUUUGCUCCAUUAAUGCCUGCUCCCAUUUCUUAUAAAAUAUGAAAGAGAAGGAAAGAAGUGCAGGGUACAUUGAGACACUUAAUAUAUGUUUAAUUGGAGCUGCAGAAGUAAUGGGGAGGGAAACAGUGAAGAAUAAGAGUAUCGGG
This 4052-nucleotide long non-coding RNA is filed under the name Canis lupus familiaris (dog). Its description in RNAcentral is "lncRNA (ENSCAFG00000057091.1)". The record is from RNAcentral. Lineage: Eukaryota; Metazoa; Chordata; Mammalia; Carnivora; Canidae.